CUCUCUUUCUCUCUCUCUCCAGAUAACCUCCGCCACCGCCCCUUGAUUCGGCGAAGUCGCCGGUGCCAGCCACCCUCCUCAUUCUUCCUCACCUCUCUGAUCUCUCACUUACUACCUCCCUCGUUCCCCUCAUCUCCUCCCUCACCAAAAAUUCCCAAAUCAGCAACCCUAGGUCCUCUUUCCUUCGAUUUCCGGCGAGGUUACCGCCGGAACCGCCCCCUCUGCUUCAGCCAACAGCAGCGGUCAGCCGGACCACCGCCAUCGCCGCCUCCCUCAUCCUCUCUGACAUCGCCGCCCCACACCCUCUGUUUCAGCCGGAGAGCAGCAGCAGUAGCUAUCCGCCACCGCCACGCCGAACUCUUCCCUCUCUGGACUGAUAGCCACGGUUCUACACUCUCUCUCCGGCGAGAUGCCGCCGCCAUCCACCGGCGUCGCGGCCACCACGCCACCGCCGACAGUAGCCCUCUGGUCCUCUCUCCUCCAGUCUUCGACUCAUAACCCCAGCAGUAGCCUCUCAAAAUUCACACAACAAAACACAAAUCGGUUCUUGCAUUACAAAGCUUUGAUUACCUAAUUACAGAAAAUGCAUGUAUAUAUGCGUUCAUACAUUGUAUAAGCAAAGUCAAUUUAUAUGCCAUACUAUGCUUGCUUUCUGUUUCAAGAUUCCUUGUUAAUGUGAUGGUUCUUUAUGAAAUAGAUUACUGAUUAUGGCAUGAAUAUGUGAGUUGGUUUACCUCUGUGAAAGUAAAUUUCGGUUUCUUGAAUUUAUGGCCGAGAAUGGGCUGUGGAAGAACUGUUGAUUUUGUAGAUUAUAAAUACUUGUAGGUAUUCUUGAGCGAUUGUGAGAGUUCUUGAAAUUGAGAUUUGAGAGAUAGAAGUUUGAUGGGGAAUGGGAUGAACUGAAUUGAAUUGGUUGGAAGGAGAAUUAAUUCUCGUUGGUGAUUAGCUAAUUUGUGGUUGAAGAAGUUGAAUGAGUGGGGUGUUAAAUAGGUGAAAACGAGCUGAGUGGAUGCAUCUUCUUCUUUCAAUAAAAACAAAGUAAGAGUGAAAUAUCUGGUUGGUUCACCA
This 1068-nucleotide long non-coding RNA is filed under the name Salvia miltiorrhiza (redroot sage). RNAcentral describes it as "long non-coding RNA (SMIL_LNC009084)". Lineage: Eukaryota; Viridiplantae; Streptophyta; Magnoliopsida; Lamiales; Lamiaceae. The record is from RNAcentral.